This 301-nucleotide ribosomal RNA is filed under the name uncultured bacterium. Its description in RNAcentral is "partial 16S ribosomal RNA". It matches the Rfam family "Bacterial small subunit ribosomal RNA", at positions 509 to 807 of the family's 1533-position model. The record is from RNAcentral.
CAGCAGCCACGGUAAUACGUAGGGUGCAAGCGUUAAUCGGAAUUACUGGGCGUAAAGCGUGCGCAGGCGGUUUGUUAAGACAGAUGUGAAAUCCCCGGGCUCAACCUGGGAACUGCAUUUGUGACUGGCAAGCUAGAGUAUGGCAGAGGGGGGUGGAAUUCCGCGUGUAGCAGUGAAAUGCGUAGAUAUGCGGAGGAACACCGAUGGCGAAGGCAGCCCCCUGGGCCAAUACUGACGCUCAUGCACGAAAGCGUGGGGAGCAAACAGGAUUAGAUACCCCCGUAGUCCCUGUCUCUUAUAC